CAGUCGCCACGGUAAUACGAAGGGGGCUAGCGUUGCUCGGAAUCACUGGGCGUAAAGGGUGCGUAGGCGGGUCUUUAAGUCAGGGGUGAAAUCCUGGAGCUCAACCCCAGAACUGCCUUUGAUACUGAAGAUCUUGAGUUCGGGAGAGGUGAGUGGAACUGCGAGUGUAGAGGUGAAAUUCGUAGAUAUUCGCAAGAACACCAGUGGCGAAGGCGGCUCACUGGCCCGAUACUGGCGCUGAGGCACGAAAGCGUGGGGAGCAAACAGGAUUAGAUACCCCAGUAGUCCCUGUCUCUUAUAC
This 301-nucleotide ribosomal RNA is filed under the name uncultured bacterium. RNAcentral's name for it is "partial 16S ribosomal RNA". It matches the Rfam family "Bacterial small subunit ribosomal RNA", at positions 509 to 807 of the family's 1533-position model. The record is from RNAcentral.